GACGAACGCUGGAGGCGUGCUUAACACAUGCAAGUCGAACGAUGAAAUGGAGCUUGCUCCAUGGAUUAGUGGCGAACGGGUGAGUAACACGUGAAUAACCUGCCCUUAAUUUUGGAAUAACCCAGGGAAACCUGGGCUAAUACCGGAUAAGUAAACCUGUGGCAUCACAUGGUUUUGGAAAGUUUUUCGAUUAAGGAUGGAUUCGCGGCCUAUCAGCUUGUUGGUGAGGUAAUGGCUCACCAAGGCGACGACGGGUAGCCGGCCUGAGAGGGUGAACGGCCACACUGGGACUGAGACACGGCCCAGACUCCUACGGGAGGCAGCAGUGGGGAAUAUUGCGCAAUGGACGAAAGUCUGACGCAGCGACGCCUCGUGAGGGACGAAGGUCUUCGGAUUGUAAACCUCUUUCAGCAGGGACGAAGCGAAAGUGACGGUACCUGCAGAAGAAGCACCGGCUAACUAUGUGCCAGCCGCCGCCGUAA
Molecule: ribosomal RNA, 482 nt
Filed under: uncultured bacterium
Lineage: Bacteria
Description: partial 16S ribosomal RNA
Rfam family: Bacterial small subunit ribosomal RNA
Source: RNAcentral